AUGCAGCUCAACUAUCUCAAGGCAUGCAUACGUGAGGCAUUCCGCCUCCACCCAAUCGCUCCCUUCAACCUGCCGCACGUCGCGAUUGCCGACACCAUUGUUGCGGGCUACCGCGUGCCCAAGGGUAGCAACGUCAUCCUCAGCCGGCUGGCCCUGGGCCGGAACCCCACCGUCUGGGAUGAACCGCUCCGCUUCAAGCCGGAGCGCCAUAUGGGAGAUAACAUCAAUGUGGUGCUUACUGAGAGCGAAUUGCGGUUCAUCUCCUUCAGCACCGGACGACGGGGAUGCAUCGCGGCAUCACUAGGAACAACCAUGAGUGUCAUGCUCUUUGGCAAGCUCCUGCAUGGCUUCACCUGGACCAAACCGGCUCGGGUGUCGACCAUCAAUCUCAGCGAGUCCAAGCACGACCUCUUCAUAGAGAAGCCGUUAGUGCUACAUGCUGAGCCACGUCUUCCAGUGCACCUCUACCCUCUCAUGCAUUGUUGA
Molecule: ribosomal RNA, 486 nt
Filed under: Triticum aestivum (bread wheat)
Lineage: Eukaryota; Viridiplantae; Streptophyta; Magnoliopsida; Poales; Poaceae
Description: partial small subunit ribosomal RNA
Source: RNAcentral